RNAcentral lists this ribosomal RNA (376 nucleotides) under uncultured organism. RNAcentral's name for it is "partial 16S ribosomal RNA". It matches the Rfam family "Bacterial small subunit ribosomal RNA", at positions 527 to 896 of the family's 1533-position model. The record is from RNAcentral.
GGAGGGAGCGAACGUUGUUCGGAUUUACUGGGGGGCGUAAAGGGGCGCGUAGGGCGGGCUUUGUAAGUCAGGGGUGAAAUGUCUCGGCUCAACCGAGGACCUGCCCUUUGAAACUACAGGGCUUGAGGCCGUGAGAGGAGACUGGAAUUCCUAGUGUAGCGGUGAAAUGCAUAGAUAUUAGGAAGAACACCAGUGGCGAAGGCGAGUCUCUGGCACGGUUCUGACGCUGAGGCGCGAAAGCCAGGGGAGCGAACGGGAUUAGAUACCCCGGUAGUCCUGGCCGUAAACGAUGGGUACUAAAUGUCGGCCGAUCGACCCGGUCGGUGUUGGAGCUAACGCGUUAAGUACCCGCCUGGGGAGUACGACCGCAAGGUUG